UCUCCAGCCCCUCCCUGAUCUAGACUCCAACUGACCUUGCCUACAGGGUCCUGGAGACUUAGGAAGAGCCCCACCUUCCUUGCUAUGGUAACCCCUUUUCUCCAUGUCAUUGACCUCCAGUGGGUUGUUAGGGAUCUCAAGCAAAGGCCUCAAGCUCUUCCAGUACACCCAGGCCUCAGACCCGACACCCCAAGUCAGAAAACUGGGCUUCCCAAAUACCCGGAAGACCAAGUCCCUUCCCCAGCAGCCCUGAUCAGGAUUCCUGCGUGGCCCCGAGGGGUGAUAUCUUCUGGAGGGUCACCGGCCUUAGGCUGGCAAUAUUUUUUAGGAAUUAUUCCCUUCCCCGGCCUGGUGUUUCUAUCUUCUGGAUUCCCCUUGGAAAGCUAUAAGGACUUUGUUGGUGACAUAUAGAAAUGUUGCUGACAUAUGUCCACAAAAUAAGUAUAUGGAUAAGUAUAUGAGAUGAUCCAGGCCAGUUCCAAUUAUCUUGUGAUGAAGAGAGCCAUCUACAUCCAG
Long non-coding RNA from Sarcophilus harrisii (Tasmanian devil), 516 nucleotides. RefSeq lists it as uncharacterized. The record is from RefSeq and is a predicted model, not a curated record. The transcript has 3 exons. Lineage: Eukaryota; Metazoa; Chordata; Mammalia; Dasyuromorphia; Dasyuridae.